AUGAGGCUCCCUGCUCAGCUCCUGGGGCUGCUGAUGCUCUGGGUCCCUGGAUCGAGUGGGGAUAUUGUGAUGAUCCAGAAUCCACUCUCCUUACCUGUCCCUCCUGGACAGCCGGCCUCCAUCUCCUGCAGGUCUAGUCAGAGCUUCCUACAUAGUGACGGAAAUACCUAUUUGGAUUGGUACCUGCAGAAGCCAGGCCAGUCUCCACGGCUUCUUAUCUACACAAUUUCUCGCAAAUUCUAUGGAGUCCCAAGCAGGUUCAGUGGCAGCAGGUCAGGGACAGGUUUCACACCUAAAUUCAGCAAGGUGGAGGCUGAGGAUGUUGGAGUUUAUUGCUGUGAAGAGGGUCUGCAAGGUCCUCACACAGUGGUACAGCUCCGAACACAAACCUUCCUAUUUGAGAUGGCUCAGCUGUCCACAGGUGUUUGCGUGGGAAGCCUGUAUGGCAGAUUCUGAGUAGGCUUCACAGGUAGAUGUUAGAUG
Molecule: non-coding RNA, 483 nt
Organism: Chlorocebus sabaeus (green monkey)
Lineage: Eukaryota; Metazoa; Chordata; Mammalia; Primates; Cercopithecidae
Source: the annotation of a RefSeq genome assembly